ACCUAUCGCUAAUACGACCCAUUUUUCCCAUUAAACCUCAGCUAACUAGGUUAAGCUACAGUUGUUGAGUUCCUUGUAGUUCCUUCUCUAACUCUAACUCCUAUAGCUCUUCUUCUUCCUAGCGGUGUGUUACAGAUCUCCUUCCCAUCAAAACACCUUGCCCACAAGGUGGGGGUAUUCUGCACACAGCUGAUGAUAGGGCUCCCAUGAUGCUUCCUUCGAUAGUUGUCCCUGCAACCUCACUAAAAGCUCGAAAAAAGGCUGAUUCUUUUCAUCCUUCAGUUAAGCACUUCUUCUGGUUCUGGUUUAAGAGUUCCCUUUGAAUCCAUGAGUGGUCACGCAGUGAUUGGGUUGAUCUGCUGACCUGGCUUUCUUUUCAACUGUGAAACAUGAAAAACGUUAUGUAUCUGUGCAUUUUCAGGGAACCUGAUACGAUAAGCCACUUCUCCGAUAUGCUACUCCACCUGGAAGGGCCCAUAAAAAUAGGGAGAAAGUUUGAGGCUUUGGCGGUAGCAUAAUGACAUCUAUCAAUAGGGUUGAAGUUUAAGAAACCAGUGCAAGGAGUUCGUUCUCAUAUGUUGAUAGUCCCAAGGCCCUUCCCUUGAGCGACUGGCUGAAAAAUGCGAGAGGCCUCAUCUGUUGCAUCAGCACUGCCCCAACUGCCUUUCCAGAGACAUCAUACUCAACUAAAAAUGGUAACUAAAAAUUGGAUAAGGCCAAAACUAGUGGUUGUGUCAUGGUUAUUUUCAGUCUUUCAAAGGCACCAUGUGCUUCCUCAUCCUAACUGAAGUUGUCUUUCUUUAAUAAAGAAGUUAAUUUUGCUAUUA
Molecule: long non-coding RNA, 827 nt
Organism: Carya illinoinensis
Lineage: Eukaryota; Viridiplantae; Streptophyta; Magnoliopsida; Fagales; Juglandaceae
Exons: 2
Source: RefSeq, a predicted model, not a curated record